Lycium barbarum (goji berry) is the source of this 578-nucleotide long non-coding RNA. RefSeq lists it as uncharacterized. The record is from RefSeq and is a predicted model, not a curated record. NCBI's taxonomy places the organism in Eukaryota, Viridiplantae, Streptophyta, Magnoliopsida, Solanales, Solanaceae. The transcript has 3 exons.
UUUAAUGAAAAAAUUCGGCCUUCUCUUUCAUUUUCAGACCUCAAAAAACCCAGAAAUUUCAGAGGUAGAGAGAGAGAGGAGAGAUAGAGAAAGAAACCAAAUUUUGACCACAAUCUAAGCCCCGAAUCGCGAAGCUCCUGAAGAGAAAAGUGUUGUACGUCGCGUUGCCUUCAAUUUGAGCUAAAAAUCAGCCAAGAAAGAGAGGGUGGAAGUGGUUGCUGCAUAAUUAAGGUAACGACGUGACAUUGGAGGAGAGCAAGUGAACGAUAACAUAGCUAAACGACAAAGGUAGACAGGAAGGUGAGCUUGGUCCAGACCCUUAGUAGCUGUCAACUGAUCGAGAGCACUCCAUUGUCCGGAGGUGCUUAUGGUUCUUCUUUUGGUAUAUAUGCAUAUUUUGGGCAUGACGGAGUCUUGUUCCGUCUAUAUGUUUAGUAUGUCAGUAGAGGCUCGUAGAUACGCAGUGUGGGUCAGAUGGUCUCGCAAGAUGUUAUUAUUAUGUAUAUGUUAUUUUGAUGGCCGAGAGGCAAAUGUAUAUAAGUAUUUAUGUUUUUAUAUAAAAUAUGAUUUUCCUACAA